This 433-nucleotide ribosomal RNA is filed under the name uncultured bacterium. RNAcentral's name for it is "partial 16S ribosomal RNA". It matches the Rfam family "Bacterial small subunit ribosomal RNA", at positions 29 to 507 of the family's 1533-position model. The record is from RNAcentral.
AGCGAACGCUGGCGGCAGGCUUAACACAUGCAAGUCGAGCGGGCACUUCGGUGUCAGCGGCAGACGGGUGAGUAACACGUGGGAACGUACCCUUUGGUUCGGAAUAACGCUGGGAAACUAGCGCUAAUACCGGAUACGCCCUUUUGGGGAAAGGCUUGCUGCCGAAGGAUCGGCCCGCGUCUGAUUAGCUAGUUGGUGGGGUAAUGGCCUACCAAGGCGACGAUCAGUAGCUGGUCUGAGAGGAUGAUCAGCCACACUGGGACUGAGACACGGCCCAGACUCCUACGGGAGGCAGCAGUGGGGAAUAUUGGACAAUGGGCGCAAGCCUGAUCCAGCCAUGCCGCGUGAGUGAUGAAGGCCUUAGGGUUGUAAAGCUCUUUUGUCCGGGACGUUAAUGACGGUACCGGAAGAAUAAGCCCCGGCUAACUUCGUG